Molecule: small nuclear RNA, 110 nt
Organism: Cyprinus carpio (common carp)
Lineage: Eukaryota; Metazoa; Chordata; Actinopteri; Cypriniformes; Cyprinidae
Source: RefSeq, a predicted model, not a curated record
UUGGCGCUAUAGGGGCAACAUUAAUAAAAUUGGACGAUACAGAGAAGAUUCGCAUGGCCCUGCGAAAGGAGGACACCAAAUCCGUUUUGGAUAGCGCGCUCAUCUUUUUU